UUUUUAUGUGUACCUUGUUUUUUUUAUGUCGUUUUUCAUUUACAGGUUUAAAUAUCCAUACUUCACUUACAUAUGACUCAGUAAAGCCCUGCCAUUCGGUUCUAUAUUAUGAAUCGUUAUGCGAUCAGCCUAUUAUUCAGCACGCUAUUACUAUGUUUCAGACAUCAACCACUGGUCGAUGACCAUAAUGUUUGUAUAAACUGUAGGUAACAACUGGUAAAAUGUACACAGUCAUAAAAACCAUAAUGAUACUUACACUUAAAUAUUUUCUUCUCAGCCAUGUUAUCAAUUGUCUGUGUCCGUGAGCGAAAGCGCUCUUCACACCAGUUGUCUGAUUGGCCUUUCGCAAGGACUCCUGGGUACUUGAAGUGCGUGAAGCCUGGAUCUAUGCGGGCUUCGCGGAAGACCGCUUCAAGGGUACAAAGGGGGCGCUGCUGAGCACACUUCAGAGCGUUAAAAUGCUAAAUGGGACGGCCUACGGACUCGUAGACUCAGCGAGCACGCGCAAUUUAAGUCCACGAGACCGAAAGUCCGCAUGAAGUGCGCCAUUUGGGACAGGGCCCAAGUCUAUCUCUGUGUCUCGUUUGGAAGGCUGCGUCCUCCGGAGGUCGCAUUGGUCGGCAGCAUACGUCAUCGAGACUGUCCUUGUUAGCGCAUUCACCUUGUUUCAGAAAAGCGAGUAGGACACUCCGAAUGCAGCCUUGGAACGCGACCUUCUUCCACGGGAAUUCGGAGGAUGCACGAGGUGUAUCCUUCGUGGCCGCUCGCAACCCACAAUUCUUUGCUUCAAUGGAAAUUAACAUAAUUUUCCCCAAAAAAUAAAAUAAAUAAAAUUACGCAAAUUUGCCCGAAAAUGGGAUGUUCAAACACAAGUAAUGUUAAUUCCCACGUUAAAGGGCACCUAUUAUGGAAUUUUGAAAAUUACCUUUCAUGUAGUGUGUAACAUAGAUUUAAGUGAACAAAAACAUCCUGCAAAGUUUUAUAUAUGAAAGUUCACCGUAAAAAAAGUUAUGGUCUCUCAAAAGUAGGAGUCGACUCUGAGUCAAUGUAAUGAAUCGUUUUUCCAAUGAGUCAUUUUCCUUUUUGUUGUGACGUCAAGACGAAAAAUUGUCAAAUUUGCCGCGCCCACUCAUUGCGCGUGCAGACACCAGGGAAAACUUGAAAACAUCAUGUCGACAACAAGACACUGUGUUCUGAAGUGCGUAUCAAAAGCGACCUUUUUUUCACUGCCCAGGGACGAGCAUGUGAAGAAUCAGUGGCUAGAGUUUAUAUUUACAACUAUACCACACAAGUAUAGCCCGAACCUUGUGCUGUGUUCGCGUCAUUUUAAUGACGAUUGCUUUACGAACAUGAAUGCUUUCAAGUGUGGAUUCAUGAGCGGUUGAUACUGAAGGAAGGUUCAGUACCAAGUUUAUUUGGAUCAGCUUCCUCCUCCGAAUCACAACCUGUAAGUAUUAUUAAUAAUUGUUGCUUUUAUGUGUUUUUUUUGUGUGUGUUAUGUAAGUUACGCUCAGCGCAGCUUCUAGGUCUCCAAUGUCAAUUUUUUUGAAAUAUGUGAAAUGUUUGUCGAUGUUAUUGGAGUUGUCAUAAAGAAUAGAGCAAUAACUUGUAGUAAUGCAGUGCUUUACCAAUAUGUUUAUGUGUUGGGCUAACGCAAACAAUAACUGAUUGGGUGUUUACCACCGAACUUUGGGCUAUGAUCGCUAACAUAUAUCAACUCAAAUUCCUUCUCUGGUUUUGAUUUUUUUAUUACAAAGCGGUGAUGGGCGUUCCGUUUCCGACAAUCUCUGCAGAGUAUACCAAUCACAACUGACUGGGUCAUCUGACCAAUCACCGCAGAUUAGCGUCACGCAAAGGAGGGGUUUGGAAAAAUGAGUCGUUGAACGAAUCAUUUGGGAGUCGGUGAGCAAAUCAGGCAAGUUUCUUCUUAUCUGCCACCUUUGCAAAAGUAAACACGUUGUAUACCUCCACCGCAUCUGCUCCAGCAACCAUGUCAAUCCUUCUUUCAUCAGCGGCUUCCACCUGUUCAAUCACUGCAACAUACAGCUCAAACUGCUGUUUGAAACGCCUCCAGUUUGUGUCAACAACCUCAAUGACCCAGGCGGUUUUAUUGCAUCCAUUGUUUGAGCCCAACUCCUGGUAUCAUGUAAUGUUCAGUUGUGCACAAUAAAUCAAACUCAUUUCAGUUACUGCUCACGUGUCUUUAAUACUUCCACUACAUACUAAAUCUCUCCUUCCCACUGCAAUACUUCCCUCUACUGGACUAAAUGACUACUAUUAAUCACUCAUUAAUAUUUCUAUUAAAAAAAAAUAUAUCUGAAGGCACAUUGCAUUAUAUAUCAACUUUAACCUCUGGGAAUACCCAUGGUGGUACUGCCCCUAUUACCAUCGAUGGCCUUAAAACCAUCCUUCAAACUUAAACUUAAUUUCCCAUCCAAAACCUUUCCCGUUUGCGCUGAUAUUCCCAACAAUCUUUUAAAGGGAUAGUUCACCCAAAAAGGAAAAUUAUCUAAUUAUUUACAUACCCUUGUGAUAUACUAGGUGUGUAUGAUUUUCUUUCUUCACCAGAAAAAUAUUUUAGCUCCGUAGGUCCUUAAAAUACAAGUGAAUGGAGAUUUCGCUUUUGAAGCUCCAAAAAUCACAGACAGUCUGGAGAAAUGUCAUCCAUACAACACCAGCUGUUAAAUUCAUGUCUUCUAAAGCAACAUGAUCGCUUUUGGUGCAAAAAAGAUAAAUAUUUAAAUAUUUAUAUAUUCUUUUAAAGAUUUUUGGAAGUCAUCAAACACAUGCAUAUAUUUUAUGCAUGCGUAUUGCUGCUGUAAGCCACAUAUAGCUAAAAAUGAUAUAUCAAAUUUUUUUAUUACUUAUCUGUGAGCUUGUUUGGCUGAAUAAUCUAAUGUUAUAUCUUAGAUGUCCAGAAAAAAAGAUGCUAUCCAGCACAAAAAGCAUGCAAAACAAAUCAUCAUAAAAAUAUGUUUUUGACUAUUGGUGAGGCAAAGAUUAGGAUCUCAGCUUUCUAAUGACACCUACAUUCAAUUUCCUUGUAAUGAGGAUACAUGGUUUGUGCCAACUACAACAUGUUUUAGGUUUACUGACUUAUUGGUAUGCACAUGAAACUUUCUAAUUCUAGAGACAUUUACAAAUGAAAUACUUAAACUAUGAAAACGAUCCAUUUUUCCUAUUCAGCAUAUUGAAAGUUAGUAUUUUUGCAUAAUGUUUUGCCUAUGCCUUUUAUGGUGAUGUUACCUCCCAGGGCGUAUCUUUCAUAUUAUUUCCUUGUUACAUCUGUGGAUGUAGAAGUUGCAUGUAUAUUGACUAUACAUUGUAUGUUUUCUGUUGUCUCCCUUGUUUUCCCUGUCAUCCCAACCAGUUCUUCUCAUAUGGUGUGAAGCUGGAGAGACUUUAACAGAUAAACUCACAGAUUUGGGAGAAAAUGUGACCAUAAACUGUGAUUUUCAUGAAGGAGAGGUAUAUUGGCUUUUACUGAAACUACCAGAGCCAGUUUUUAUAUUACGCACUUUCUCUCCAAACCCUUUUUACUACAAUAAAACAAUCAGUCACAAAUAUUCAGUGAAAUCCAAACGUCAUCUGUAUAUAAAUAAUGUCACUACUAAUGAGUUAGGAGUUUAUUACUGUAUGAAAACAGAGAAGACCGAAAGACACUUUAGUACUGGCACCAGACUACACAUCAUUGGUAAGUGACCAUUUACUUAUCAACUCAUAUUGAUGAUUAUUGAUAGAAUAAUUUGAUACAAACUUUUUAGACACUUAAGAAAAACUAUAAUUAUUUAAUGGUUGCAAAGUGCUAAAUGUGUUAUAUAAUUAUAUUGAAGAACCAACUUCAGAGAGCCAGUAUCACACAACGGAGACAACAACAAAGAAUACACCACAGAUUCAGACACCAUGGCACAUUAUUACUCUCAUAUCUGCUCUGCUGAACUGUGUUCUGAUCAUUGCGGUCUUUGGACUAAUAAAGGUGUUUGGUCAUGGAAGAAAGAGAACCAGUGAACGUUCAAAACAAGAGACUCGCCUACAACAUCCUCGGGUUACAGAUCUUGAACUGCCUCAAGACUUAAUCCGAACACAG
Xyrauchen texanus (razorback sucker) is the source of this 4087-nucleotide RNA transcript. NCBI's taxonomy places the organism in Eukaryota, Metazoa, Chordata, Actinopteri, Cypriniformes, Catostomidae. The record is from RefSeq and is a predicted model, not a curated record.